This 2902-nucleotide small RNA is filed under the name Pongo abelii (Sumatran orangutan). RNAcentral's name for it is "retained intron". Lineage: Eukaryota; Metazoa; Chordata; Mammalia; Primates; Hominidae. The record is from RNAcentral.
CUCUUUUGGUUGGUGGCUGAUUGCGCGGUACUGAUUUGCUACUCCAGCGUCUCUGGUCUACUUCGCGAUCUGUAGGCUCUUGUCCAUUGACUUUAACACCCAGUUUUUGUUUGUGCUGGGUCACUUCAAUUUGGAUACACGUGGAGCAGUCGGAAACUGUUCUGAGCAGGAAGGGCAGCAGGUCAUAACUCCAUGCAGGAAGCUCAUCUUGUGUGCUGAUAACAGAAAAGAAAUGGAAGAUUGGAUUGCAGCAUUAAAGACUGUGCAGAACAGGGAGCACUUUGAGCCCACCCAGUACAGCAUGGACCACUUCUCAGGGAUGCACAAUUGGUACGCCUGUUCCCAUGCGAGGCCGACCUACUGCAAUGUGUGCCGUGAGGCUCUGUCUGGGGUCACGUCGCAUGGGCUGUCCUGCGAGGUGUGCAAAUUUAAGGCCCACAAGCGCUGUGCUGUGCGUGCAACCAGUAACUGCAAGUGGACCACACUGGCCUCGAUCGGGAAGGACAUCAUUGAAGAUGCAGAUGGGAUCGCAAUGCCCCACCAGUGGUUGGAAGGAAACCUACCUGUGAGCGCCAAGUGCACUGUGUGCGACAAGACCUGUGGCAGUGUGCUGCGCCUGCAGGACUGGCGCUGCCUCUGGUGCAAGGCCAUGGUUCACACAUCAUGUAAAGAAUCCUUGCUGACGAAGUGCCCGCUUGGCCUGUGCAAAGUGUCAGUCAUCCCACCCACGGCUCUCAACAGCAUUGACUCUGAUGGGUUCUGGAAGGCCAGCUGUCCUCCGUCUUGCACAAGCCCACUGUUGGUCUUCGUCAAUUCAAAAAGUGGGGACAACCAGGGUGUGAAGUUCCUCAGAAGAUUCAAACAGCUGCUAAACCCCGCCCAGGUCUUCGACCUCAUGAACGGAGGCCCACACCUCGGCUUACGGUUAUUCCAGAAGUUUGACACAUUCCGGAUUCUGGUUUGUGGCGGGGAUGGAAGUGUUGGCUGGGUCCUCUCCGAAAUCGACAGCCUCAACCUUCAUAAACAGUGUCAGCUGGGAGUGCUGCCACUCGGCACAGGGAACGACUUGGCCCGAGUGCUGGGCUGGGGCUCAGCCUGCGAUGACGACACCCAGCUCCCCCAGAUCUUGGAGAAGUUGGAGAGAGCCAGCACUAAGAUGCUGGACAGGUGGAGCGUCAUGGCAUACGAGGCCAAGCUCCCCCGGCAGGCCUCCUCCUCUACCGUCACCGAAGACCUCAGCGAGGAUUCCGAGGUGCAGCAGAUUCUCUUCUAUGAAGACUCAGUUGCAGCCCACCUUUCUAAAAUCCUCACCUCGGACCAGCACUCGGUGGUCAUCUCCUCGGCCAAAGUGCUCUGUGAGACGGUGAAGGACUUUGUGGCACGGGUGGGGAAAGCCUAUGAGAAGACGACCGAGAGCUCGGAGGAGUCAGAGGUCAUGGCCAAGAAGUGCUCUGUCCUGAAAGAGAAGCUGGAUUCCCUUCUCAAGACCUUGGAUGAUGAGUCCCAGGCCUCGUCCUCUCUGCCCAACCCGCCCCCCACCAUUGCCGAGGAGGCUGAAGAUGGAGAUGCGCCAGGCAGCGUCUGCGGCUCCACCGGGGACCGCUUGGUGGCAUCAGCUUGCCCGGCCCGGCCGCAAAUAUUCCGGCCUCGAGAACAGCUCAUGCUGAGAGCCAACAGCCUGAAGAAAGCGAUUCGUCAGAUCAUAGAACACACAGAAAAAGCUGUGGAUGAGCAGAAUGCCCAGACCCAGGAGCAGGAGGGCUUCGUCCUGGGCCUCUCUGAGUCAGAGGAGACGAUGGACCACAGAGUGUGCCCACCACUGUCCCACAGCGAGAGCUUCGGGGUCCCCAAGGGGAGGAGCCAGCGCAAAGUGUCGAAAUCUCCGUGUGAAAAGCUGAUCAGCAAAGGAAGUCUGUCCCUGGGCAGUUCUGCUUCCCUUCCACCCCAGCCGGGAAGCCGGGACGGUCUGCUUGCGCUCAACACCAAGAUCCUGUACCCAAAUGUCCGGGCUGGAAUGUCUGGUUCCUUGCCUGGUGGCUCAGUCAUCAGUCGCCUGUUAAUUAAUGCUGAUCCCUUCAACGCUGAACCAGAAACCCUAGAGUAUUACACGGAGAAAUGUGUCAUGAACAACUAUUUUGGCAUUGGCCUGGAUGCGAAGAUCUCCCUGGACUUUAACAACAAGCGCGAUGAGCACCCAGAGAAGUGCAGGAGCCGAACCAAGAACAUGAUGUGGUAUGGAGUUCUUGGAACCAAAGAGUUGCUGCACAGAACCUACAAGAACCUGGAGCAAAAGGUCUUGCUGGAGUGUGACGGGCGACCCAUCCCACUCCCCAGUCUUCAGGGAAUUGCUGUCCUUAACAUUCCCAGCUAUGCCGGAGGAACCAACUUCUGGGGGGGGACCAAAGAAGACGAUGUAUGUAUGGGGUGUGAGCGGGUGGGCCUGAGCUCAGUGGGGAAGAGCUGUCUGAGAGCAGGGAGGUGUUCUGCUGUGUCUGGGGUGGAUCCAGCUCUUCCAUUGUGCCAGCAGCAGGGCUGCCGUGGAGAACAAGAUAGACGGGGUCCCCCACCCAGCUCAUCGUCUAGAGGGCUGAGCAGAGCAGAUGUGUCAGUGAAGGUGGUCAGCGAGGGUCUGUGGUCAGCAGAUGCGGUCAGCGGGUGUGAUGUGGAAGGAGGGUCAGGGAAAGUGUCUGGGAGGCCAAGACCUGAAGGAUGACUUGGAGUUGGCUAAGUUAGGUGGGCAGAGGAGAGGGGGAGGCUGUUCCAGGCAGAGAGAAUUGCACAGAUGAAGGCUCAGAGUCAAGACAGGGCAGGCACAUGGCGGAUGGGGGAGAGGUGCCCUGACUGCAGCGGGCAGCAGGGGUGUGGAGAGACAGGAGAGGUCUGCAGGGCCUGGGUCACGUUG